CUUUACAUAUCGAGUCGAUGGAAUUCCAGUUAUUCAAAAAAUGGAUCUAGAUACUCUUCACUGUUGGUAGUUUCUCUUGAUUAGUUUAGUAGACAGAUUAACGAAAACUAGACGUUAAUGUAUUACCUCUGUAAAUACAAGAGUACUAGCAGAGACAGUUGAUUUGCCGAAAUUGGGAAAAAGAGGACUAAGAUACCAAGGGAACAUGAAAAACUCAUAUCGAAGAUAAACUGAUAACGCGAUGGCAAAAAACGAGAGACGUCGAAAAGUUGUAAAUAAGCGCUCAAAACUCUACAUAAAAACUAAAGAAUGAGUUUUCAAUUAUGAACUUUCAAUUUCUAUGUAGCAACAUUCCAGCAGCGCCUGCAUACGGAGUAUAUAUCUCACAAUUGAUACGAUAUUCCCAGGCUUGUAUUUCCUAUCAUGAUUUUCUUGAUAGAGUGUUGCUGCUCACAAGGAAGCUAUUAAACCAAGAGUUCCAAAUGGUGAAGCUGAAAUCAUCCCUUCGUAAUUUUGCGGACGCCAUCACGAGUUGGUUGACCGUUAUGUAAUAUCCGUUUCACAGAUGAUAGCGAAUAAGUUCCUUAUGUCGUAACUACAAUCCUGUUCUGUUCCCUUCUCACGAAUGUGACCUAGCGAAUAAAACUUAUUACCGGGUUUGUACUAACAUGAGAAACACGACGGUUGCCACAUGUUUAGCAGGAUCUGCUUACCCUUCCGGAGCACCUGAGAUCACCCCAGUUUCUGGUGGGGUUCGUGUUGUUUAUAGUCUUUAUUUUUCUAUGUUGUGUUUUGUGUACUAUUGUUUGUCUGUUUGUCUUUUUCUUUUUUAGGCAUGGCGUUGUCAGUUUAUUUUCGAUUUAUGAGUCCCUCUGGUAUCUUUCGCCCCUCUUUCGACGAUCCCGCCAAAACCUAAGAGUGGUGUCUGGGGCUCCGGAACGCGAUCCUUAUAAAAUACAACCUGUUCUAUUAGAUGGAUCAGAAAAUAUGAGGAUUCAAUAACUGUGAUAUUAUUGAAAAAGGUGCAUCUAAAGUUUUGUAAGUUCAUCCUGAAUCUGAAAUCUUCUACCCACAACUGUAUGAUAUACGAUGAGCUAGGACAUUUUCAACUUAUCAUUGAUGUAAAAUUAAGGAUGAUAUCCUUCUUGUCACGAAAUUGAUAAUGGAAAAACAGUCAAAGUAUUCUUGUGUUAUUUUUCAAAGCUAAAUUGCGUGGUCACUUCCAACAAACAUGGCAUGUGACUAUUCAAAAUUUUCGAAAGCUUUGAAUUACCG
This 1275-nucleotide long non-coding RNA is filed under the name Mytilus galloprovincialis (Mediterranean mussel). The record is from RNAcentral. Lineage: Eukaryota; Metazoa; Mollusca; Bivalvia; Mytilida; Mytilidae.